GGGAUAACUCCGGGAAACCGGGGCUAAUACCGGAUAACAUUUUGAACCGCAUGGUUCGAAAUUGAAAGGCGGCUUCGGCUGUCACUUAUGGAUGGACCCGCGUCGCAUUAGCUAGUUGGUGAGGUAACGGCUCACCAAGGCAACGAUGCGUAGCCGACCUGAGAGGGUGAUCGGCCACACUGGGACUGAGACACGGCCCAGACUCCUACGGGAGGCAGCAGUAGGGAAUCUUCCGCAAUGGACGAAAGUCUGACGGAGCAACGCCGCGUGAGUGAUGAAGGCUUUCGGGUCGUAAAACUCUGUUGUUAGGGAAGAACAAGUGCUAGUUGAAUAAGCUGGCACCUUGACGGUACCUAACCAGAAAGCCACGGCUAACUACGUGCCAGCAGCCGCGGUAAUACGUAGGUGGCAAGCGUUAUCCGGAAUUAUUGGGCGUAAAGCGCGCGCAGGUGGUUUCUUAAGUCUGAUGUGAAAGCCCACGGCUCAACCGUGGAGGGUCAUUGGAAACUGGGAGACUUGAGUGCAGAAGAGGAAAGUGGAAUUCCAUGUGUA
RNAcentral lists this ribosomal RNA (552 nucleotides) under Bacillus cereus. Its description in RNAcentral is "bacterial SSU rRNA". It matches the Rfam family "Bacterial small subunit ribosomal RNA", at positions 140 to 677 of the family's 1533-position model. The record is from RNAcentral. Lineage: Bacteria; Bacillati; Bacillota; Bacilli; Caryophanales; Bacillaceae.